GGCGCUGUGGCGGAGUGGUCUAUCGCGCUAGACUUGAAUUCGUUCAUAAUAUCUAGUUCCUUCGGGAGCAUCGGUUCGAACCCGAUCGGCGUCG
Fusarium tricinctum is the source of this 94-nucleotide non-coding RNA. NCBI's taxonomy places the organism in Eukaryota, Fungi, Ascomycota, Sordariomycetes, Hypocreales, Nectriaceae. The record is from the annotation of a GenBank genome assembly.